This 281-nucleotide long non-coding RNA is filed under the name Triticum aestivum (bread wheat). RNAcentral describes it as "long non-coding RNA (TAES_LNC024307)". Lineage: Eukaryota; Viridiplantae; Streptophyta; Magnoliopsida; Poales; Poaceae. The record is from RNAcentral.
GUCACCAAGUUCACCUCCUCUUAGACUGCGUCGCCUGUAUCUAGUAGCAAAUGUAGUUCUAUACUGUUGGCUUAGUGCUUGUCCGUGGACUCUGGUUAUCUGCAAGUAAUAGUAGUCCUACUUUUGGAUGAAAAUUGCCGAAUCAUUGUAAAUGCUUUGUUGGCUCGUCGGCCACCUGCAAGAACUGAAUUAUGUCCGCUUCAAUUGGCAAAUGAAGAUUUCGGAAACGUUGUUGGUUCUAUUUACCGAUUUCCGCGGUGGUUUACUAAUAGAUGUUCUAG